RNAcentral lists this transfer RNA (75 nucleotides) under Prosthecobacter sp. RNAcentral describes it as "tRNA-Thr". It matches the Rfam family "tRNA". Rfam says of the family: Transfer RNA (tRNA) molecules are approximately 80 nucleotides in length. Their secondary structure includes four short double-helical elements and three loops (D, anti-codon, and T loops). Lineage: Bacteria; Pseudomonadati; Verrucomicrobiota; Verrucomicrobiia; Verrucomicrobiales; Verrucomicrobiaceae. RNAcentral also lists the same sequence under 3 other names. The record is from RNAcentral.
GCCAACAUAGCUCAGCGGUAGAGCAGCGGUUUUGUAAACCGCCGGUCGUCGGUUCAAUUCCGACUGUUGGCUCCA